RNAcentral lists this ribosomal RNA (809 nucleotides) under uncultured Planctomycetota bacterium. Its description in RNAcentral is "bacterial SSU rRNA". It matches the Rfam family "Bacterial small subunit ribosomal RNA", at positions 46 to 832 of the family's 1533-position model. The record is from RNAcentral. Lineage: Bacteria; Pseudomonadati; Planctomycetota.
GGAUUAGGCAUGCAAGUCGAACGAGGAUAUACUCUUCGGAGUAUAAGCCGAGUGGCGAAAGGGUGAGUAAUGCAUAGAUGACAUACCUUUAGGAUAAGAAUAACUUUGUGAAAAUGGAGUUAAUACUUAAUAAUUACGAAGCAAAAUCAAUUAGUUUCGUCAAUGGGGGGGUAGCAAUACCUCUCGCCUGAAGAGUGGUUUAUGUCCUAUCAGCUUGUUGGUGGGGUAAUGGCCUACCAAGGCAAAGACGGGUAGCCGGUCUAAGAGGAUGGUCGGCCACACUGGGACUGAGACACUGCCCAGACUCCUACGGGAGGCUGCAGUCGAGAAUCUUUCGCAAUGCCCGAAAGGGUGACGAAGCGACGCCGCGUGAGCGAAGAAGGCCUUAGGGUUGUAAAGCUCUGUCGAGGGUUAUGAAAUAUAGAUAGGUUAAUACCUUAUCUAUUUGACAAAGGCCCAAAAGGAAGCCACUGCUAACUCUGUGCCAGCAGCCGCGGUAAUACAGAGGUGGCAAGCGUUGUUCGGAAUUAUUGGGCGUAAAGAGCACGUAGGUGGUUUUGUAAGUCAGGUGUGAAAGCCUUCUGUUCAAAGGAAGAACGGCAUCUGAAACUGCGAAUCUUGAGUGUAGGAGGGGAGAGUGGAACUUCUGGUGGAGCGGUGAAAUGCGUAGAUAUCAGAAGGAACGUCGGCGGCGAAAGCGACUCUCUGGCCUAUUACUGACACUGAGGUGCGAAAGUUAGGGGAGCAAACGGGAUUAGAUACCCCGGUAGUCCUAACCGUAAACGAUGGGCACUAAGUAGAGGGAAUUA